UACGUAGGGUGCGAGCGUUAAUCGGAAUUACUGGGCGUAAAGCGUGCGCAGGCGGUUAUGCAAGUCAGAUGUGAAAUCCCCGGGCUCAACCUGGGAACUGCAUUUGUGACUGCAUCGCUGGAGUGCGGCAGAGGGGGAUGGAAUUCCGCGUGUAGCAGUGAAAUGCGUAGAUAUGCGGAGGAACACCGAUGGCGAAGGCAAUCCCCUGGGCCUGCACUGACGCUCAUGCACGAAAGCGUGGGGAGCAAACAGG
This 253-nucleotide ribosomal RNA is filed under the name uncultured bacterium. RNAcentral's name for it is "partial 16S ribosomal RNA". It matches the Rfam family "Bacterial small subunit ribosomal RNA", at positions 524 to 776 of the family's 1533-position model. The record is from RNAcentral.